RNAcentral lists this ribosomal RNA (442 nucleotides) under uncultured Phyllobacteriaceae bacterium. Its description in RNAcentral is "bacterial SSU rRNA". It matches the Rfam family "Bacterial small subunit ribosomal RNA", at positions 337 to 796 of the family's 1533-position model. Lineage: Bacteria; Pseudomonadati; Pseudomonadota; Alphaproteobacteria; Hyphomicrobiales; Phyllobacteriaceae. The record is from RNAcentral.
UCCUACGGGUGGCAGCAGUGGGGAAUAUUGGACAAUGGGCGCAAGCCUGAUCCAGCCAUGCCGCGUGAGUGAUGAAGGCCUUAGGGUUGUAAAGCUCUUUCACCGGUGAAGAUAAUGACGGUAACCGGAGAAGAAGCCCCGGCUAACUUCGUGCCAGCAGCCGCGGUAAUACGAAGGGGGCUAGCGUUGUUCGGAAUUACUGGGCGUAAAGCGCACGUAGGCGGAUAUUUAAGUCAGGGGUGAAAUCCCGGGGCUCAACCCCGGAACUGCCUUUGAUACUGGGUAUCUCGAGUAUGGAAGAGGUGAGUGGAAUUCCGAGUGUAGAGGUGAAAUUCGUAGAUAUUCGGAGGAACACCAGUGGCGAAGGCGGCUCACUGGUCCAUUACUGACGCUGAGGUGCGAAAGCGUGGGGAGCAAACAGGAUUAGAUACCCCAGUAGUCC